Molecule: ribosomal RNA, 926 nt
Filed under: uncultured Bacilli bacterium
Lineage: Bacteria; Bacillati; Bacillota; Bacilli
Description: SSU rRNA
Rfam family: Bacterial small subunit ribosomal RNA
Source: RNAcentral
AGAGUUUGAUCCUGGCUCAGGACGAACGCUGGCGGCGUGCCUAAUACAUGCAAGUCGAGCGAAUCUUUGGGAGCUUGCUCCCUAGGGUGAGCGGCGGACGGGUGAGUAACACGUGGGCAACCUGCCUGUAAGACUGGGAUAACACCGGGAAACCGGUGCUAAUACCGGAUAAUCCUUUCCCUCUCAUGAGGGAAAGCUGAGAGACGGUUUCGGCUGUCACUUACAGAUGGGCCCGCGGCGCAUUAGCUAGUUGGUGAGGUAACGGCUCACCAAGGCGACGAUGCGUAGCCGACCUGAGAGGGUGAUCGGCCACACUGGGACUGAGACACGGCCCAGACUCCUACGGGAGGCAGCAGUAGGGAAUCUUCCGCAAUGGACGAAAGUCUGACGGAGCAACGCCGCGUGAGCGAUGAAGGCCUUCGGGUCGUAAAGCUCUGUUGUUAGGGAAGAACAAGUAUCGGAGUAACUGCCGGUACCUUGACGGUACCUAACCAGAAAGCCACGGCUAACUACGUGCCAGCAGCCGCGGUAAUACGUAGGUGGCAAGCGUUGUCCGGAAUUAUUGGGCGUAAAGCGCGCGCAGGCGGUCCUUUAAGUCUGAUGUGAAAGCCCACGGCUUAACCGUGGAGGGUCAUUGGAAACUGGGGGACUUGAGUGCAGAAGAGGAAAGCGGAAUUCCACGUGUAGCGGUGAAAUGCGUAGAGAUGUGGAGGAACACCAGUGGCGAAGGCGGCUUUCUGGUCUGUAACUGACGCUGAGGCGCGAAAGCGUGGGGAGCAAACAGGAUUAGAUACCCUGGUAGUCCACGCCGUAAACGAUGAGUGCUAAGUGUUAGAGGGUUUCCGCCCUUUAGUGCUGCAGCUAACGCAUUAAGCACUCCGCCUGGGGAGUACGGCCGCAAGGCUGAAACUCAAAGGAAUUGACGG